This 273-nucleotide ribosomal RNA is filed under the name uncultured bacterium. RNAcentral's name for it is "partial 16S ribosomal RNA". It matches the Rfam family "Bacterial small subunit ribosomal RNA", at positions 523 to 796 of the family's 1533-position model. The record is from RNAcentral.
AUACGGGGGUGCAAGCGUUAAUCGGAAUUACUGGGCGUAAAGCGCGCGUAGGCGGUUAAAUAAGUUGGAUGUGAAAUCCCCGGGCUCAACCUGGGAACUGCAUUCAAAACUGUUUAACUAGAGUAUGGUAGAGGGAAGUGGAAUUCCAGGUGUAGCGGUGAAAUGCGUAGAUAUCUGGAGGAACAUCAGUGGCGAAGGCGACUUCCUGGAUCAAUACUGACGCUGAGGUGCGAAAGCGUGGGGAGCAAACAGGAGUAGAUACCCGAGUAGUCC